RNAcentral lists this long non-coding RNA (261 nucleotides) under Homo sapiens (human). Its description in RNAcentral is "HSALNT0046321". The record is from RNAcentral. Lineage: Eukaryota; Metazoa; Chordata; Mammalia; Primates; Hominidae.
CGUGAUGAGGCUCACCAUGGGGUCUCCAGCGAGGUGUCUGCAGAGCUUCGAUGGAUUCGGUGCUUAAGAGAUGAGAAACUUCGUUCUACCAGUAAUGGAAGAAACGCUUCACCUUAAUCACCCUCCUUGUCUUUCCCCUCCCUUUGACUAUGUAGGACUCGAUAACACAACAUUUGAAAGAUUCUACUCUAUGAAAUAAGCACAGAUUGAAAUUCAGUAUUUGCCAAGGAAUAUUAAACAUGAAUUACUGGGAUUGAGGAA